GUGAACGCUGGCGGUAGGCCUAACACCUGCAAGUCGAACGGCAGCACCGUAAGAGCUUGCUCUUACGGGUGGCGAGUGGCGGACGGGUGAGGAAUACAUCGGAAUCUACUUUUUCGUGGGGGAUAACGUAGGGAAACUUACGCUAAUACCGCAUACGACCUACGGGUGAAAGCAGGUGAUCUUCGGACCUUGCGCGAUUGAAUGAGCCGAUGUCGGAUUAGCUAGUUGGCGGGGUAAAGGCCCACCAAGGCGACGAUCCGUAGCUGGUCUGAGAGGAUGAUCAGCCACACUGGAACUGAGACACGGUCCAGACUCCUACGGGAGGCAGCAGUGGGGAAUAUUGGACAAUGGGCGCAAGCCUGAUCCAGCCAUACCGCGUGGGUGAAGAAGGCCUUCGGGUUGUAAAGCCCUUUUGUUGGGAAAGAAAAGCAGCAGGUUAAUACCCCGCUGUUCUGACGGUACCCAAAGAAUAAGCACCGGCUAACUUCGUG
This 491-nucleotide ribosomal RNA is filed under the name uncultured bacterium. Its description in RNAcentral is "partial 16S ribosomal RNA". It matches the Rfam family "Bacterial small subunit ribosomal RNA", at positions 29 to 507 of the family's 1533-position model. The record is from RNAcentral.